AUACGGAGGGUGCAAGCGUUGUUCGGAAUCACUGGGCGUAAAGGGCGCGCAGGCGGUUUUACAAGUCAGAUGUGAAAGCCCACGGCUCAACCGUGGAAGUGCAUUUGAAACUGUAAGACUUGAGUAUCAGAGGGGAAGGUGGAAUUCCCGGUGUAGAGGUGAAAUUCGUAGAUAUCGGGGAAUACCGGUGGCGAAGGCGACUUUCUGGCUGAAUACUGACGCUGAGGCGCGAAAGCGUGGGGAGCAAACAGGAUUAGAUACCCUAGUAGUCC
RNAcentral lists this ribosomal RNA (272 nucleotides) under uncultured bacterium. RNAcentral's name for it is "partial 16S ribosomal RNA". It matches the Rfam family "Bacterial small subunit ribosomal RNA", at positions 523 to 796 of the family's 1533-position model. The record is from RNAcentral.